Molecule: microRNA precursor, 158 nt
Filed under: Oryza nivara
Lineage: Eukaryota; Viridiplantae; Streptophyta; Magnoliopsida; Poales; Poaceae
Description: MIR812 microRNA precursor family
Rfam family: MIR812 microRNA precursor family
Source: Rfam by way of RNAcentral
AAGAAAUACAGUUUUAGCACUGUUCAUGUUCAACAUUUGACCGUUCGUUUUAUUUGAAAAAAGAUUAUGAUUAGUAUUUUUAUUGUUAUUAGAUAAUAAAACAUGAAUAAAACGGAUGGUCAAAGCACUAAACACGAAUAUUUAUGGCUACACUUAUU